UACCCGCUGAACUUAAGCAUAUCAAUAAGCGGAGGAAAAGAAACCAACAGGGAUUGCCUUAGUAACGGCGAGUGAAGCGGCAAAAGCUCAGAUUUGAAAUCUGGCGUCAUUUUGGCGUCCGAGUUGUAAUCUGUAGAGGAGUAUUCGAGUGUAGCUUUGGCUUAAGUUCCUUGGAACAGGGCGUCAUAGAGGGUGAGAACCCCGUUAACGGCCUUAGUCUUAUGCUCAUGUGAAUCUCCUUCAACGAGUCGAGUUGUUUGGGAAUGCAGCUCUAAAUGGGUGGUAAAUUCCAUCUAAAGCUAAAUACUGGCAAGAGACCGAUAGCGCACAAGUAGAGUGAUCGAAAGAUGAAAAGAACUCUGAACAGAGAGUUAAAUAGUACGUGAAAUUGUUGAAAGGGAAGCACUUGCGACCAGACACACUUGCAAUUGAUCAACCUCCAUUUUUGGUGGUGCACUCGGUUGUAGGUGGGUCAGCAUCAGUUACGGCGGUGGGAAAAAGACCAAGGGAAUGUGGCUCUCUUCGGGGAGUGUUAUAGCCCUUGGUGUAAUGCCGCCAGCUGUGACUGAGGACCGCGCUUUUGUGAGGAUGCUGACAUAAUGGUCGUAAGUGACCCGUCUUGAAACACGGACCAAGGAGUCUAACAUCUAUGCGAGUGUUUGGGUGUCAAAACCCUUACGCGUAAUGAAAGUAAAUGGAGGUGGGAACCGCAAGGUGCACCAUCGACCGAUCCUGAUGUUUUCGGAUGGAUUUGAGUAGGAGCAUAGCUGUUGGGACCCGAAAGAUGGUGAACUAUGCCUGAAUAGGGUGAAGCCAGAGGAAACUCUGGUGGAGGCUCGCAGCGGUUCUGACGUGCAAAUCGAUCGUCAAAUUUGGGUAUAGGGGCGAAAGACUAAUCGAACCAUCUAG
Molecule: ribosomal RNA, 909 nt
Filed under: Plicaria trachycarpa
Lineage: Eukaryota; Fungi; Ascomycota; Pezizomycetes; Pezizales; Pezizaceae
Description: eukaryotic LSU rRNA
Rfam family: Eukaryotic large subunit ribosomal RNA
Source: RNAcentral